This 241-nucleotide long non-coding RNA is filed under the name Elaeis guineensis (African oil palm). RNAcentral's name for it is "long non-coding RNA (EGUI_LNC045745)". The record is from RNAcentral. Lineage: Eukaryota; Viridiplantae; Streptophyta; Magnoliopsida; Arecales; Arecaceae.
CAUCCCACAUCCCAAGGCUCCAUCUGAUGGCACACAAAAUUAAGAAAUGCGUGGAACAUGUAAGAAAAUUAAGAGGAGUGGAAGAGAAGGACUCCUCUCCUUAAACCCAAAAUAAAUGUGAUGCCACCUUUAAUUUUUCAUGUAGUUUUGACAUGGAGAUGAUGGAUUUAAAUGGAACUCUUUCAUUGAAAACCAAAUAAGCCACCUAUUUAAAAAUAGAUUCAAACCCAAUCACAUUAGG